This 554-nucleotide ribosomal RNA is filed under the name uncultured bacterium. RNAcentral's name for it is "partial 16S ribosomal RNA". It matches the Rfam family "Bacterial small subunit ribosomal RNA", at positions 355 to 904 of the family's 1533-position model. The record is from RNAcentral.
UGGGGAAUUUUGGACAAUGGGCGAAAGCCUGAUCCAGCAAUGCCGCGUGUGUGAAGAAGGCCUUCGGGUUGUAAAGCACUUUUGUCCGGAAAGAAAUCCUUGGCUCUAAUACAGUCGGGGGAUGACGGUACCGGAAGAAUAAGCACCGGCUAACUACGUGCCAGCAGCCGCGGUAAUACGUAGGGUGCAAGCGUUAAUCGGAAUUACUGGGCGUAAAGCGUGCGCAGGCGGUUUGCUAAGACCGAUGUGAAAUCCCCGGGCUCAACCUGGGAACUGCAUUGGUGACUGGCAGGCUAGAGUAUGGCAGAGGGGGGUAGAAUUCCACGUGUAGCAGUGAAAUGCGUAGAGAUGUGGAGGAAUACCGAUGGCGAAGGCAGCCCCCUGGGCCAAUACUGACGCUCAUGCACGAAAGCGUGGGGAGCAAACAGGAUUAGAUACCCUGGUAGUCCACGCCCUAAACGAUGUCAACUAGUUGUUGGGGAUUCAUUUCCUAGUAACGUAGCUAACGCGUGAAGUUGACCGCCUGGGGAGUACGGUCGCAAGAUUAAACUCAA